Molecule: transfer RNA, 77 nt
Filed under: Sulfurospirillum cavolei
Lineage: Bacteria; Pseudomonadati; Campylobacterota; Epsilonproteobacteria; Campylobacterales; Sulfurospirillaceae
Also listed under: 3 other names
Description: tRNA-Ile
Rfam family: tRNA
About the family: Transfer RNA (tRNA) molecules are approximately 80 nucleotides in length. Their secondary structure includes four short double-helical elements and three loops (D, anti-codon, and T loops).
Source: RNAcentral
GGGUCCUUAGCUCAGUUGGUUAGAGCAUCCCGCUCAUAACGGGAUGGUCGAGUGUUCGAGCCACUCAGGACCCACCA